Molecule: ribosomal RNA, 468 nt
Filed under: uncultured bacterium
Lineage: Bacteria
Description: partial 16S ribosomal RNA
Rfam family: Bacterial small subunit ribosomal RNA
Source: RNAcentral
GACGAACGCUGGCGGCGUGCUUAACACAUGCAAGUCGAACGGAAAGGCCCUGCUUUUGUGGGGUGCUCGAGUGGCGCACGGGUGAGUAACACGUGAGUAACCUGCCCUUGACUUUCUGAUAACUUCAGGAAACUGGGGCUAAUACCGGAUAGGAGCUCCUGCUGCAUGGUGGGGGUUGGAAAGUUUCGGCGGUUGGGGAUGGACUCGCGGCUUAUCAGCUUGUUGGUGGGGUAGUGGCUUACCAAGGCUUUGACGGGUAGCCGGCCUGAGAGGGUGACCGGCCACAUGGGGACUGAGAUAGGGCGCAGACUGCUACGGGAGGCAGCAGUGGGGAAUAUGGCAGAAUGGGCGGAAGCCUGAUGCAGCAGCGCCGCGUGCGGGAUGACGGCCUUCGGGGUGUAAACCGCUUUCUCCUGUGACGAAGCGUGAGUGACGGUAAUGGGUAAAGAAGCACCGGCUAACUACGUG